CUGAGCGAAUACAAUUGAAGAAGGUUGCAGCUGCGUCCAGUUCUGAUCCUAUUGCAGCAAUGGUUACUCAACAAGCAGCAAUGGCCACACAGCAGACAGCGAUGGCUACACAGCUGGCAGAGUUGACUACAAAACUUGGUGAGUUGAAUGUUGGACGUCCUGAACAAGCUGUGAUAGAUCCGUCAGGCAUGGAAGAUGUCAAUUAUGUGAAUGGCAGAAACUAUGGGAAUUUCCAGCGAGGACAGCCAGGAAUGUAUGGCAGAAGUCAAAAAUUUCAGCAGGGUCAGCAGCAGUUCCAGCCAGGAGCACGCCCGCAUCCUAAUCUUUCUUACGGCAAUCCGAACAAUGCUUUGCAGCCUCCACCUGGGUUUUCUGUAUAUAGCGGAGGAAUUAUAAAUGAGCCGAAGAAGGGAUCACUGGAGGAUAUGAUGCAGCAGGUUUUAACAGAGGUGUCUAGCAUGAAGACAACUGUUAAUUCAAGGAUAACUAAUUUGGAGUCUCAAGUGGGUAAUAUUGGGAAUAAUUUUUCAUCACUGUCGAAACAAGUGCAGAUUUUGGAGACUCAAGUUGGUCAGAUUGCCAACCAAGCAGCUGCGCAGCACACACCAGGAAAGUUUCCUAGCAACACGGAGAUCAAUCCUAGAAAUCAGUGUAAUGCGAUUCAUUUAAGGAGCGGGACUCAGUAUCAGAAUCAUCCAGAGCUGCAGGAUGGCAAGGAAAAAUGUGUAGAGAUUGUUGAGGAGGAUGACUUGGAGACGAUUGUAUGUGAUUCGCCGCCUACUUCUAAGGGGUCGAGUACUUCUGCUGUUAAGGAGCCCAAUCCUACUUCUACGUUUCCCAGGCCAGAGUACAAGCCUGUAGCACCUUUCCCGAAUCGCCUGGCAAAGCCAAAGAUGGAUGACAAGUUAGCCAAGUUCAUGGAGAUGUUUUCAAAGCUUCACAUCAACAUUCCUUUACUUGAUGCUUUGAGAGAUAUGCCAGGCUAUGCCAAGUUCCUCAAGGACGCAGUCUCCAACAAGAAGAAGUUGGGGAAAUAUGAGACGAUAAAUCUUUCCGAGGAAUGCAGUGCUGUGCUACAAAGAAAGCUACGUUAUAAUUUCUUACGCAAAACUGAAUUCAAUUUUUCUAAUGAUCAUAAUUAUUGGUAGGUACCUGUACAAAAAGUUGAAAGAUGAUAACAUGCUGGAAAAAUUUGUGUUUGUCAAUCCAUUUGGCGUAUCACAUGGAGCUGCUUGUGACGAGAGGGCACGUAAGUUAGCCGAUAGAUUAAUUCAAACAAAACCACAACAGCUUGUGUUGGUUCCUGUCAACGUUAAUAAACAUUGGAUCUUAACAAUUAUUGAGCCUUACAAAGAUUGUGUCUAUGUGAUGGAUCCUUUGUCUCAUCGGAAUCGUGAUGCCACUUGGAAAUCCGUAGUUGACACCGCAAUGACCAUUUUCAAUGCAACAAAGGAAAAGAAUAAAUUCAAGAAACCACCAAAAUGGGAAAUUGUUAAGGGCCCAAUACAACCCGAUUUCAAACAAUGUGGCUUUUACGUGAUGCGAUUUAUGAAAGAGAUCGUAAUGGCGUGUCAAGACGAUGACUCCGUUUUCGUGGCUUCAAUGUUUAAAAGACGUGAGUAUUCUAUGAGUGAGAUAAAUGAGGUUCGAGAAGAUUGGGCAACUUCUGCCAUUAAUGAGGUUUGUAAUAUCUAAUGAUUAGAAUUUUUAUUAAAUAUAUCUAUGGCUUUAUAGUGUUGUUAAUAUAUAUACUUGUUUUCUUUGUCUUGUAGCUUUGACAUGUGACAUGGAGAAGUUCUUGCGCGUUGAUAUGACAUUUUGAAAGCUUUCUGGAACAAUUAUAAUUUAGUCGGUGAUGUGGUAGAACAUUGGUUCUUAUUUUGUUGUUGGGAGAUGUGGUAGAACAUUGGUUCUUAUUUUGUUGUUGUUGGAUGAAUAUUGGUUAUCAAUGUUUAAUUGGUCAUUUUCAGUA
RNA transcript from Salvia miltiorrhiza (redroot sage), 1972 nucleotides. RefSeq lists it as uncharacterized. The transcript has 5 exons. The record is from RefSeq and is a predicted model, not a curated record. NCBI's taxonomy places the organism in Eukaryota, Viridiplantae, Streptophyta, Magnoliopsida, Lamiales, Lamiaceae.